UCGGGAAUUUUGGGCAAUGGGCGAAAGCCCGACCCAGCAACGCCGCGUGAGGGAUGAAGUAUUUCGGUAUGUAAACCUCGAAAGAAUGGGAAGAAUAAAUGACGGUACCAUUUAUAAGCUCCGGCUAACUACGUGCCAGCAGCCGCGGUAAUACGUAGGGAGCAAGCGUUGUUCGGAUUUACUGGGCGUAAAGGGCGCGUAGGCGGCGCGGUAAGUCACUUGUGAAAUCUCUGAGCUUAACUCAGAACGGCCAAGUGAUACUGCUGUGCUAGAGUGCGGAAGAGGCAACCGGAAUUCUUGGUGUAGCGGUGAAAUGCGUAGAUAUCAAGAGGAACACCUGAGGCGAAGGCGGGUUGCUGAGCCGACACUGACGCUGAUGCGCGAAAGCCAGGGGAGCAAACG
Molecule: ribosomal RNA, 402 nt
Filed under: uncultured bacterium
Lineage: Bacteria
Description: bacterial SSU rRNA
Rfam family: Bacterial small subunit ribosomal RNA
Source: RNAcentral